Molecule: unclassified non-coding RNA, 378 nt
Filed under: soil metagenome
Description: partial contains 5.8S ribosomal RNA, internal transcribed spacer 2, and large subunit ribosomal RNA
Rfam family: 5.8S ribosomal RNA (bases 5-121)
Source: RNAcentral
GAUGGAAGAACGUAGCGAAAUGCGAUAAGUAAUGUGAAUUGCAGAAUUCAGUGAAUCAUCGAAUCUUUGAACGCACCUUGCGCUCCUUGGUAUUCCGAGGAGCAUGCCUGUUUGAGUGUCAUUAAAUUCUCAACCUCACCAACUUUGGUUGUGUGAAGGCUUGGAUGUGGGGGUUGCAGGUCCGCUUUGGUGGUCUGCUCCUCUAAAAUGUAUUAGUGGGUUAGUCCCCUAAUCUAUUGGUGUGAUAAUUAUCUACGCCGUGGAUUGGGAUGGCUAUAUAGACUCGCUUCUAACCGUCCUCAUGGACAACUUUGACAAUUUUGACCUCAAAUCAGGUAAGACUACCCGCUGAACUUAAGCAUAUCAAUAAGCGGAGGA